This 394-nucleotide ribosomal RNA is filed under the name Pseudomonas sp. 8AZ. Its description in RNAcentral is "bacterial SSU rRNA". It matches the Rfam family "Bacterial small subunit ribosomal RNA", at positions 56 to 453 of the family's 1533-position model. Lineage: Bacteria; Pseudomonadati; Pseudomonadota; Gammaproteobacteria; Pseudomonadales; Pseudomonadaceae. The record is from RNAcentral.
UGCAGUCGAGCGGAUGAGAGGAGCUUGCUCCUUGAUUUAGCGGCGGACGGGUGAGUAAUGCCUAGGAAUCUGCCUGGUAGUGGGGGAUAACGUCCGGAAACGGGCGCUAAUACCGCAUACGUCCUACGGGAGAAAGCAGGGGACCUUCGGGCCUUGCGCUAUCAGAUGAGCCUAGGUCGGAUUAGCUUGUUGGUGAGGUAAUGGCUCACCAAGGCGACGAUCCGUAACUGGUCUGAGAGGAUGAUCAGUCACACUGGAACUGAGACACGGUCCAGACUCCUACGGGAGGCAGCAGUGGGGAAUAUUGGACAAUGGGCGAAAGCCUGAUCCAGCCAUGCCGCGUGUGUGAAGAAGGUCUUCGGAUUGUAAAGCACUUUAAGUUGGGAGGAAGGGC